UACAGAGGGGGCAAGCGUUGUUCGGAAUUACUGGGCGUAAAGGGCGCGUAGGCGGCCUGUUAAGUCGAACGUGAAAUCCCUGGGCUCAACCCAGGAACUGCGUCCGAUACUGGCAGGCUUGAAUUCGGGAGAGGGAUGCGGAAUUCCUGGUGUAGCGGUGAAAUGCGCAGAUAUCAGGAGGAACACCGGUGGCGAAGGCGGGUCUCUGGGCCGAUACUGACGCUGAGGAGCGAAAGCGUGGGGAGCGAACAGG
This 253-nucleotide ribosomal RNA is filed under the name uncultured bacterium. RNAcentral's name for it is "partial 16S ribosomal RNA". It matches the Rfam family "Bacterial small subunit ribosomal RNA", at positions 524 to 776 of the family's 1533-position model. The record is from RNAcentral.